GGUGAACGCUGGCGGCGUGCCUAACACAUGCAAGUCGAGCGGGUACCCGCAAGGGUACCAGCGGCGCACGGGUGAGUAACACGUGGGUAAUCUACCCCUCGGAGGGGGAUAACCGGGGGAAACCCCGGCUAAUACCCCAUACGAUCCGGCAACGAAGGUUGCUGGAUGAAAGGGGCGUUUGCUCCGCCGAGGGAUGAGCCCGCGGCCCAUCAGGUAGUUGGUGGGGUAAUGGCCCACCAAGCCUACGACGGGUAGCCGGCCUGAGAGGGUGGUCGGCCACAAGGGCACUGAGACACGGGCCCUACUCCUACGGGAGGCAGCAGUGGGGAAUCUUGGACAAUGGGCGAAAGCCUGAUCCAGCGACGCCGCGUGGGGGAUGAAGCCCUUCGGGGUGUAAACCCCUGUUGCGAGGGAGGAAUAAGGCCUGGAGGAGAUGCCAGGCCGAUGACUGUACCUCGCGAGGAAGCCCCGGCUAACUACGUGCCAGCAGCCGCGGUAAUACGUAGGGGGCGAGCGUUACCCGGAUUCACUGGGCGUAAAGCGGGUGUAGGCGGCUCGGUAAGUCGGGUGUGAAAUCCCACAGCUCAACUGUGGAAUUGCGCCCGAAACUGCUGAGCUUGGGGCCGGUAGAGGGAGACGGAACUGCCGGUGUAGGGGUGAAAUCCGUAGAUAUCGGCAGGAACGCCGGUGGGGAAGCCGGUCUCCUGGGCCGCGCCCGACGCUGAGACCCGAAAGCUAGGGGAGCAAACC
Molecule: ribosomal RNA, 750 nt
Filed under: uncultured Thermotoga sp.
Lineage: Bacteria; Thermotogati; Thermotogota; Thermotogae; Thermotogales; Thermotogaceae
Description: bacterial SSU rRNA
Rfam family: Bacterial small subunit ribosomal RNA
Source: RNAcentral